UUAUAUCAGUGGUUUCGCUGAAGGGAAACCAACCUUGAGCAUCUCAUCAGGCAUCUGAGUUAUCACCACUAUUUUGUCACCUUAGUGAAAGGAAAGUUCUAGAAGAGAGCCUUGUGGUAUCUCCCCAUGGAAAGACUCCGGAGAGGCUCUUCUGUGACAACAGCUUUGCUAACAGCCUUCCAGUUCUCCCAGCCCACUGAGUUGGAGGGUCACCUUCCCCUGCCGAGGACAUCGGGAUCCGGAUCCUGCCGGGCUCAGCCAGGAUGUCCUCACCAUCCCCCGUGUUAUCACCAUGACAGAGAGAGCAGCAGUGACCUGUGUCACAACAGGAUCUUGCAGACAUGAUUGUGUGUGACCUCCAAGCCUGGGUCAUAAAGACAUCAUCCUGCCAGGCUGUCUCUGGGAAGCCAGCCACCAUGCCCUGUGGAUGCCCAAGCAGUCCCGCAGAGAGCCCCAUAUGGAGAGGAACCGCCCUGGGAGGGGGCUGCUUGGGAAGGAAGUCCGCUGGCCUCAAUUACACCUUCAGAUGAGACCACAGCUCCAAACACCCAGCCAGCUGCUCCCGAAUUGCCAGCCCCCAGAAACCGGGAGAGACCAUAUAUGUUGAUCAUUCUACGACUCUCCCGGGAUGUAGUCUCCGAGGUGUUGGUCUGCCCUCUUCCUGGUGUGGUCGUCACUGAAAUGAGUUACUUUCUUGUGUCACUUCCACGCUCACCUCUGCCCUCGGAUUCUGUCAGCACCAAGGACCCUCUCUAGCAGGUGGAGGACGGCCACGCUGCCCACAGUCUCCUGUCCCCCUCUGGCAAUGUGAUGUUGGAAGUAAAGAGACGUCCACCUUCAUUGAGCCACUGUAUUUCAGAUCUCUUUACUAUGGCAGCAAAACAUGCCCCCAGAGGAACGCACUGUGAUACCGAAUUCACCUGCGGCUCUAACACAGCGGGGCCUGUGCUGGAUCUGUCUGCUCGGCACCAUCUGUUCGCAGGGUGCUGAUCCCACCCGGCCCCGCGGUUCUGCAAGAUGACGGACCCACCCUGCCUGGGCACAGGCAGGUGGCCCGGGUCUGACUGGUCCUGACUCCCCAUCCUGUUCAGGGUUAUAGUUUCAUGGGUUGGACAUAAGACCCAACUGUGGCCCUUCCAUGAGACUCUCACUGUGAUGAGAGAGAGGCUUUGUCAUUAUUGCGGAUUGUGGUGGGAGAGGGAAGCCAACCCCAAGCAGCACCAGAGGCCACCAGAGAGAGGGCAGGAGGAAGCCCAACAAAGGCCCCUCAGCCCCUGGAUCUAGCUGUGCCUGCCGCACCUUGAGAUGCAAGUGAUCCAAGAUGUGAGCUGAACUUCUGUCACUUGCAACUAAGAGUCCCAUGUCCUUUAUUUUAAUAAUAAAACACGUUUGGGAGUGAUUUUAUAUAA
Molecule: long non-coding RNA, 1409 nt
Organism: Suricata suricatta (meerkat)
Lineage: Eukaryota; Metazoa; Chordata; Mammalia; Carnivora; Herpestidae
Exons: 5
Source: RefSeq, a predicted model, not a curated record